Molecule: long non-coding RNA, 2225 nt
Organism: Sphaerodactylus townsendi
Lineage: Eukaryota; Metazoa; Chordata; Lepidosauria; Squamata; Sphaerodactylidae
Exons: 3
Source: RefSeq, a predicted model, not a curated record
AGCUGCAGUCCGCAAGGUUCAGGGAACCAUGAGGACUCCCUGCUGAGGGGCUGACCUGCCAAGUAUCCCUCCCACCGCCCAUGCUGGCAGUACCUGAGGGCCUUUAGCCGGAUCGCUGGUGAUUCUGAACUUGCUGAGCAGGAAAACUCGAAAGCUUUUUUUCCAAUUCAACAGCUGCUUCAGGCCUGCCAACAGCUCAGCAGCUUGAACAGAAAUCCUUGUCUGACAUCUUUGCUGCCCAGAAACCAUUCUAUUUCUCCGUAUUCUGUCCUCAGAGUUCAUAGGCCAUGUCCCAGGACCAGGCCGAGUCCAUGGUGAAGACACUGGAAAGUCUUUUUGAUGAAGCGGAACGGCUGAAGAACUUCUGCCGGCGCCAAAACGAAGAAGUCAAGCUGGUGAUGGAAGAGCUGCAGCGGGAGAAUCAGGAGUUGGUUCAAAAUUAUGCGCAGGCCGAACAGGAAAUGGAGGCCGUGCGCAAGGUCCUGAAUGAGUUGGUGGACACCAAGAUUGCCUUUGAGGCGCGUGAGAGACAAGUCCGUAAGCUCAGCAAACAGCUGUGAGACCCACCUCGGGAAUUUCUUGUCUUCUGAGUCAGAGUCACCAUUUUCUCCUACAGCUAGAAAUCUCCACUUGGAUUGCUUGUUCAGUCUAUCACCCGUCAUCAUGACAAUAUGAAAGCCUCUCUAUGCACUCAGCUGUUUCUAGUGCCCUCACAGAUGUUUGCUCCCUCCUCUGUGGGGCCUCGUACCAUAACCCCGCUGGAAGCCAUCUUGUGACCACCUGACAUUCACUCCUGUGGUCCUUCUUGUCUCCCUCAGGAACUGCCGACUGAUAAAAAUCCUCCCCAGUUUCAUCACUGCCUGUUUAGCAGUCACUGAGACUCGCUUCUAUUUUACACUCUGAUUGUUUUCUGUGGAAUGUAUUAACGCCAAUCUUUUUUGUGUUCACAGAGGACGGUACCCAGUCAACUUUGCAGUCAUUAUCCCAUGUAGGCUCUUGUGGCGUUCAUAAUUGCGUUAGAUGUAGCCUGGUCUUCAAUCCCAUUAGUUUCCUCAGCAACUCGAGCUUGGAGCCUACUUCGAGUAUUUAUUACCUGUAGUGUGGUCAUACAGGGCUGGCUCAGUGGCCUGUUCUGAUGAUUCAAUUUCCUUGGUAACUGGUGAUUACUUGUACAGGUUCUUAGCCAUUUUGGAUGGUCUCAGAAGCCUGACAUUGGGGUCACACUGUUUUUUUCCGUGCGGCUAGUGUCGUGGAUGCUAUUGGUAUAGUUCUGCCUUGAUGGUGAGAUUAUAGGGGGAUCUUGACUUGGAUUCCACAAAGGAUUGCUGCAGACUGAAGGGAAGGGAUAUUUCCUCAACUCAACUCUCCCACACAGGGCUGCCAACCUCCAGGUGGCGUCUGGAGACUUCCUGAUCUCCAGACGACAGAGAUCUCUGGAGAAAAUGGAUGCUUUGAAGGAUGGGCUGUGUGACCGUAUUCCUUUCUCUUUCCCAAGUCUUCCCCUCCCCAAAUUCCACUCUUAAAUAUCCAGGAAUUUUCCAAGCUAAUGUUGGCAGCCCUGUACUGUAGACCUCUAAUUCCUUCCAAGAUUUUCUUGGGUGUCCACUUUCACCCAAGGGCAGCAUUUUUGAGAACAUUUUAAGCUGUAGCAGAUGAAAAGCUGCAGUCCAUGUAUGGAAAAAUUUUCCUGUCAUCCAUGGAAAUCCAAGCUCUCGACUUAGUUCGUGUCCAAGUCUUCAUCCACCAUGGGCUUAUCCAGCCGUCGCUGAUCCCUUUCUGCUGAGCUAAUUUGUCCAGCUUUAAUGGAAUGUAAGUUUGCAGCCGAUCCCAGCCAUCCAGCCAGGCCAAUUAAUAAAUCUUGUCUUGUUCUUAUAAAGUGACGACUGUCAUCUCUGAGUAAUGAACAGUCACUGCUUUGUCAGAACAACAGGAGUUUGAUUAAUUACUCAGAAAACCCACUCUCUGUGACCUUGUCCGUAAUUGUCAUCCAAGUCCUCCUGCUUCUAGAACUUUCCUACCCUUGCAAUUCGGUCCUCUCAUCCCCCUGCUAAGGCCCCCAACUUAUGGAAUGGCCUGCCAGAGGAGGCCCGGAAGACUCCCACUCUCCUAACUUUCCACAAACGAUGCAACUGAAUCCAGUGGCAUAUCAGGUCUAAAUGGCGCCCGGAGAGUAAAAACCCUCUGGGCGGCCCCCGCAGAGCCCUGCUUACUCGUGAAUAAGCGUG